Long non-coding RNA from Eriocheir sinensis (Chinese mitten crab), 2904 nucleotides. RefSeq lists it as uncharacterized. The transcript has 4 exons. The record is from RefSeq and is a predicted model, not a curated record. Lineage: Eukaryota; Metazoa; Arthropoda; Malacostraca; Decapoda; Varunidae.
GGUUGAUUUCCUGGUCUACCGGCCCCUGGAGGAGUGGUCAAUUUCCUGGUCUACCGUGGAUAUGAGUGGUUGAUUCCCUGGUCUACCCCUGGAUGACGCGGCUGUUCCUAUGCAGGGGAAGACUCACACAAGCGAUAAGCACCCGUCGGACCUGGAGACUCCCCCCUGAGCCUGACGGUGGAGCUGUGGGCCCUGCACCAGACCCCCACACCCCCCCACACCACCCACAGCAGGGGCAGGGCGUUGAGACUCCCCCCACAGGCUAAGACAGGGAGGGACUUGAAGAUCCAGGUUUUUGUCAUCUGCACAGGAAUUGACACUAUAGACAAUAAUUGACAAUAUAGUUUCCUUUUUUGUGUGUGCCCUUGAGCUGUCUCCUUUGUUGUAGAAAAAAAAUACUUGACAAGGCUUUCAUAGGUGUUUGGGGCAUUUCCAUGGGUAGUUUGAUGACCCUGGUGGUAGUCUGACCCUUCCUCUGUGCAAUGAACUUGAAAAAAACGCUCAUAAAAAUGCAGAUAUUAACCCAGUAGCAGCAGGGAUCAUGUUUCUUAAUGGUCCCUCCAAGCGAGAAAAAUGAGAAAAAAAAUCACCCCUCACACAAACCAUUUCAUAUAUAUCAAAGCAUUUGUGAUUAGAUUAUGUAUCAUCUAUUUUUGGGGGUUUAUAUCAUGGCACAAAUUUGGCCUGUCGCUGCUACAUGGUAAAGCCACAAAUUUGGCCCGUCGCUACUACUGGGUUAACCUCAUUGUCGUGUUAAAAUCCCUGUAUCUCACUGUUAUCUUCCUCUCCCUCUAUAUUAUUUGUCAAUCUCUCUCUUUCUCUCUCUCCCACAGAUGUCUAAGGUUCCGCCUAUGCAGCUGAAGGGUGCCAAUGCCUACACAUGCGUCGACCACAGGUGUGCGCUGGACAUUGCCUACAAUUCAUGGUGCAAAUGGGAGCGUCAGCGGAGAUUGAGCUGGCGGAAGGUUGGCGGCCGGGUCAAGCUCGCCUCGGACAAGGAGUUCUGUGAGAUGUGCUCGGCGGAUGUUGUUGACCUCGGCCACAUCAAUGUUACUAAGGUGGCGGAGGUGUGGGACUACAUCUACAUUGACGACGGACUCAAGGAGAUCCCUGAGACUACUAUUAUUACUAUUACUACUAUGUGUACUAUUAAAUCCUCUAUACUGCUACUAUGUGUACUAUUGAAUCCCUUAUAUAGUACUUCCAUGACAGCUGAUCUACUACUACUACUAUGACCACUCAAUCCCUGGUAAGUACAAUGUCAUUAUCAUCAUCAUUAUUUAGGUUAAGGUCCAUUUAAUUCAAUCUUCCUGAGCGGUUGGACGCUUUAUGGCUCUCCUCCAUUCUACUCUGUCUUCCGCCCAAUGCUUAUACAGUUCUAUCAAUCCCAAGUCUUCCUGUACACACCUUCUCCAUGUUUUUCUAGGUCUACCAACUGGUCUUCCUUCUACCUCCAUUCUGCUAUGUCUUCUGCCCAAUGCUCAUCCAAUCCCAUCACUGCUAAGUCUUCCUGUAUACACCUUCUCCAUGUUUUCCUAGGUCUACCAACUGGUCUCCUUCCUUCUACCUCCAAUCUCUCCAACACUCCCAGCACUGUAUCCUCCCCUGCUCUCUUUACAUGUCCAAACCAUCAGAGUCUUUCCCUUCUGAGCACUGUUUCCAGGUCCUCUACUAAAACUCCCAGCACUGUGUCCUCCCCUGCUCUCUUUACAUGUCCAAACCAUUGGAGUCUUUCCCUUCUGAGCACUGUUUCCAGGUCCUCUACUAAAACUCCCAGCACUGUGUCCUCCCCUGCUCUCUUUACAUGUCCAAACCAUCGGAGUCUUUCCCUUCUGAGCACUGUUUCCAGGUCCUCUACUAAAACUCCCAGCACUGUGUCCUCCCCUGCUCUCUUUACAUGUCCAAACCAUUGGAGUCUUUCCCUUCUGAGCACUGUUUCCAGGUACUCUACUAAAACUCCCAGCACUGUGUCCUCCCCUGCUCUCUUUACAUGUCCAAACCAUCGGAGUCUUUCCCUUCUGAGCACUGUUUCCAGGUCCUCUACUAAAACUCCCAGCACUGUGUCCUCCCCUGCUCUCUUUACAUGUCUCUGCCAAAUAUUUCCCUCUCCCUGCCUCUGUCCCUGCCAAAUCACUCUCUCCCUGCCUGUGUCCCUGCCAUGUCUCUCCCUCCCUGCCAAAUCUAGCCUCUCCCUACCUUACCCUGCCCUAAGCUAUCCUAACCUACCUCUCUCUCCACCAGGUUGACAAGCCCGUCCAUGGUGAAGAAGCCUUGUCCUACCCGUGCUGAGAUGACCCGUGUGGGCAACACUACCAUGGACGGAGCAGUGGGGGAGGCGGUGGCUGAGUGGAUAGCAUGAUGGCGCCACAUUCGGGACAACGUGAGUUCAAACCCCGCCCGGUGCCACCAAGCUGGGAUUUUUCAGCCGCCGCCGAGUGGCUUAAAACUACCCACAUGCGAGCAAAAUCUGGAAACUUAUCUUCGUUACUGGGGCUAUUUCCUUGCAAAUGGGGAUAUUCCUGGGAGAGUACGUCACGGCAAAGCCAUUUCUGGUCUCGAAAUAGCAAUACAGCGCCUACCGGUCGAGAUAGCCUUGUAUCUAGUUCUGUCUCUCUCUUAUCUCUGUGUGUUAUAUAAAGGCUGGCCUCUAACAAUACAUGCAACAACAUAUGUAACUGUACCUAAUGCGCUAUUUAGAAAUGUUUCAAAUGUUCUGUCUUUACCUCAAAGUUAAUUCAUUCUUCCUCAUAUAUAUAACUUGAUUGCCCUCUCGUCUUUUUAAUUAAUCCUCGAUCACUCUCUUUUAAUCAUCCCAGCCAGCUGUUCCUCAUAGUGGCUCUCGCACACCUGUACACAAUUUUCCGAACAUACCAAGAUACACUUUUAAUCGUCAGCCAACUCUGA